Molecule: long non-coding RNA, 2873 nt
Organism: Alligator mississippiensis (American alligator)
Lineage: Eukaryota; Metazoa; Chordata; Crocodylia; Alligatoridae
Exons: 3
Source: RefSeq, a predicted model, not a curated record
CCCCACCGCGAGCGGCCGCUUGCCGCAGCCCCCGGCCCCGCCCCGGCGCGGGGGAUGGAGGGGCCGCGGGUGACCCCCCUCCCCCCGGCUGGGCGCGGGGAAGCGGCGGCGGCGGCGGCGCUACUUUCCUGCCCGGGCGGACGAGCGCCCCCGGCGAGCCGACGCUUCAGGGUGAUGAACAAGCGCUUUGAUCACAGGACAGACGAUGGGCUCCAGAGCCGUGAGAUUUUACAGGCGAUCAAGGUGGUUUCCCUUCCCCCCCGGUUUGGUCCGUGUGGUGGAGGCCGCAGGGUUCAGGGUGCCAAGCUGUCCCCUGCACCCCUGUCAGAAACUUGAAAAGGAAGGAGCUGGAGGUGGUGGUGGCUCGGCUGCGAGAGGAAAGGCGGCAGGAGCCGAGGCUGGGAUGGAAGCACCGGAGCCCCUGGCACUUGAGGCGGGGCUGGCCGCCAGCUGCACCCUCCUGCUCUCCCCAGAUGAACUUCUCUGGCAACAGAAAAGUUUUGUGCCUCAGGUGACCCGUGGGCCAGAUAGAAUUUUGCCCAUCCCUGCCCUAAUCCAUGCAGCAUCAGAACUACAGCCACUUCUAGGUUGGAGGGCAGCAGCUAUGUAGUCCACAGGUAUGCAGCUUAGAUGUGAACUCCAGCUGCACUGCAAAAAGGAUCGUGGAACAUCUGACUAAGGACAUGGGCAAAUGUUCACCCUUAUGAGAGCACAACGGUUCAGUAAGAGCUGAAAAGGACCUCAGCCAAUGCCAUGAGAUUAAAAAAGCCUUUUUUUGGGUAGCUAGCCUUCAGGACAAAUAAUCACAUCAGGAUGUUCAUAUUGGCACCAGUACUAUACUUUCAUGGCUGUGAUACAAAAGCACAACCUGCUUUUACAAAACAUGAAAGAGAUUGAGAUGUUUGGGAAAUAUUUCACUUUGUAGAGAACAGACCUAUUUUAACUGGUUCAGGGUACAUUCUUCCUGAAGAGGGAGAGAAAGACUAGGGCCCUGACAACACAUUGUUCACGAGGGGGCCAUUUCAUUUUUACUAGAAUUUAUUGAAACGUUAUUAAUCCACACAUUUUAAAACCUGAUUUUGUACAAGCUUGGAGAUUCUUAACUGUUUUAAGAAACUACAUAUUGAUGUUGAAUUCAAUACAAAUGCCCCUUUGGAUCUUCCUGGUUUGACAUGGGCUCCUAGUUCAAAAUGCCAUGAGAGAAACUAUUGCAGGGAGAUGUUUUUGCCAUUGUUUUUAGAGCUCUCCCUGGUGGAUAUAUGGGGUUUAAGAAUAUUUUUUGCAUACUUUCUAUUGCAUUAAAUAGACCCUUUUAACUCUGGACAACCAGGUUUUUCCUUUUCUUUUUGGCAGACAAUUACAGUGCUAAGUACUAAUACUGUUUGUCUGCUGAAAUCCUUCCCUUGUAGGUUAGCAUCCAACCCUUUAAGACAUUAACAGUACACAUUAAUAACUUCUAAUUAACAAGUUAUGGGGAACUGCAUAUAAAUGCCCUUUCCAAGUGUGCAGGUACCUUUUCUCCGUUAAAGCCCGCUCCGCCUUCCCCCCGAAAAAACACCCUACUGCAGCUAAAACUUGCAUAAUGGCUUCUCUCUCUUUAGGUACUUAAUUCCCCUCCAAGGAUUUCCAGCUAUAAUGAAUUCAGAAUUAUUUUGCUCUGCCACAUGUUAUGGAUUUGUGCCAGUGCUGCUGUUUGCUGCAGUGCAAAGUACUUGGAGAGAAAAAAAGAAUUGGACUAGAAACUGAAGCCAAGUCAGCAGAACUCAAUUUUGACCCCUUUCUAGUUGUCUAGGGAGUGGUGCACUUGGACUCUGAACAAGUUUCACCACGUUCUCCCAGUCCAAAGGAAAGUAUCUGUAUUACAUGAUGCUGAACAGGGAAAAAUGAAGUGGAGGAAAUGGGUGGAAGUCUAAAGGCUCCAAGAGGUCAAUGGAAGAACCCAGUUCUCUUUAAAAGCAAGAUUCCUCACUCUCAAUACAGAUAAUACACUCAUCAUGGCAAAAACCCUCAAGGAAAAUUCACCCUUUUUUUAUUUGGUUCUGUCCAGGGGGAAGGCGAGAAAAAAAACAUUCCUUAUUUCAACACACAAACUUGCAAGUGCUUUUCAAAUAUGGUUGAGUGCUCUACCAACUGAAUAACAAAGGCAGGAUAAGGUAGCAUCUUAUCAACUAGUUCAGAGACAUGAGCUUUCAUAGACUAUGGCCUAGUAUUCCUGUUCUCUGCAAGUCUGUUUAUAGCAUCUGACAAAGUAGGCUAUAAAAGGACUUGCAGAGAGCAGAGGUACUAGUCUGUAGCCUACAAAAGCGCAUGCCUCUCUGAACAAGUCAGAUUUCAAAGGUGCCACCUUGUCCUGACUUCUACCUAAUUAACCCCUCUCAGGUUCUAUUACUUCACCUUCUGACACCUGGUCUAGAUAGGGCCUCUGUCCUUUAUUGCAAGCUUUUCCACUGUAACAUCUAUAAUCAUAUCCAAAGCAAGAGAACAAACCUCCUCCUGCUUCCCCAAAAGUUAAAGUAAAGGGUGCAAGGAGGAAAGAGUCCUUUCUAGGGCUUUGGUAUGUAUAGCUCCACACCUUCGCUUCUUCCUUGGCUCUUCUUUCCAUAUCAAAAGUCCUUUCUCCGAUUUCAGUCUACUUUGACCACUGCGAAAGGGUUAUGGCUGGGUAGUUCAUUGAAUCAAUCUCCAUCAAGAACACCACUAUGAAACUAGAGCUUUGUAUUCCCGUUAAUUCCAGAUUUAUGGUACCCUACUAAAAUGGUCCUAUGAACACUCUGCUGUCCUCUGGGCUUGUAAAAUAAAACAUGCAUCCUACAUAAACAAUAAACAUUGUCCAGCUAUUAUAUGUAACAAUUCAUUAAAGAAUCUCAAAGUAA